RNAcentral lists this transfer RNA (71 nucleotides) under Loxodonta africana (African savanna elephant). It matches the Rfam family "tRNA". From Rfam's summary of the family: Transfer RNA (tRNA) molecules are approximately 80 nucleotides in length. Their secondary structure includes four short double-helical elements and three loops (D, anti-codon, and T loops). The record is from Rfam by way of RNAcentral. Lineage: Eukaryota; Metazoa; Chordata; Mammalia; Proboscidea; Elephantidae.
GCAUUAGUGGUUCAGUGGUAGAAUUCUCACCUUCCAUGAGGGAGAUCUGGGUUAAAUUCCCAGCCAAUGAA